GGCAGGCUUAAUACAUGCAAGUCGAGGGGCAGCGCGAGUAGCAAUACUUGGCGGCGACCGGCGCACGGGUGCGUAACGCGUAUGCAACCUACCUGUAAUCGGGGAAUAGCCCGGAGAAAUCCGGAUUAAUACCCCAUAACACUGCAGAAUGGCAUCAUUCAGCAGUUAAAACUCCGGUGAUUACGGAUGGGCAUGCGUGACAUUAGUUUGUUGGUGAGGUAACGGCUCACCAAGACUACGAUGUCUAGGGGUUCUGAGAGGAUUAUCCCCCACACUGGUACUGAGACACGGACCGGACUCCUACGGGAGGCAGCAGUAGGGAAUAUUGGGCAAUGGACGCAAGUCUGACCCAGCCAUGCCGCGUGAAGGAUUGACGGCCCUAGUGGUUGUAAACUUCUUUUGUACGGGAAAAAACCCCUGAUCGCGCAUCAGGGCUGAUGGUACCGUAAGAAUAAGGAUCGGCUAACUCCGUGCCAGCAGCCGCGGUAAUACGGAGGAUCCAAGCGUUAUCCGGAUUUAUUGGGUUUAAAGGGUGCGCAGGCGGGAUAAUAAGUCAGAGGUGAAAGCCUACAGCUUAACUGUAGAAUUGCCUUUGAUACUGUUAUUCUUGAGUACAGUUGGAGUGGGCGGAAUGUGUCAUGUAGCGGUGAAAUGCUUAGAUAUGACACAGAACACCGAUCGCGAAGGCAGCUCACUAAGUUGUAACUGACGCUCAGGCACGAAAGCGUGGGGGUCAAACAGGAUUAAAUACCCUGGUAGUCCACGCCCUAAACGAUGAUCACUCGCUGUUGGCGAUACACUGCCAGUGGCUAAGCGAAAGCAUUAAGUGAUCCACCUGGGGAGUACGGCGGCAACGUUGAAACUUAAAGGAAUUGACGG
RNAcentral lists this ribosomal RNA (879 nucleotides) under uncultured bacterium. Its description in RNAcentral is "bacterial SSU rRNA". It matches the Rfam family "Bacterial small subunit ribosomal RNA", at positions 41 to 916 of the family's 1533-position model. The record is from RNAcentral.